GACGAACGCUGGCGGCGUGCCUAAUACAUGCAAGUCGAACGCUGAAGGAGGAGCUUGCUCUUCUGGAUGAGUUGCGAACGGGUGAGUAACGCGUAGGUAACCUGCCUGGUAGCGGGGGAUAACUAUUGGAAACGAUAGCUAAUACCGCAUAAGAGUAGAUGUUGCAUGACAUUUACUUAAAAGGUGCAAUUGCAUCACUACCAGAUGGACCUGCGUUGUAUUAGCUAGUUGGUGGGGUAACGGCUUACCAAGGCGACGAUACAUAGCCGACCUGAGAUGGUGAUCGGCCACACUGGGACUGAGACACGGCCCAGACUCCUAGGGGAGGCAGCAGUAGGGAAUCUUCGGCGAUGGACGGAAGUCUGACCGAGCAACGCCGCGUGAGUGAAGAAGGUUUUCGGAUCGUAAAGCUCUGUUGUAAGAGAAGAACGAGUGUGAGAGUGGAAAGUUCACACUGUGACGGUAUCUUACCAGAAAGGGACGGCUAACUACGUG
Molecule: ribosomal RNA, 495 nt
Filed under: uncultured bacterium
Lineage: Bacteria
Description: partial 16S ribosomal RNA
Rfam family: Bacterial small subunit ribosomal RNA
Source: RNAcentral